Molecule: ribosomal RNA, 253 nt
Filed under: uncultured bacterium
Lineage: Bacteria
Description: partial 16S ribosomal RNA
Rfam family: Bacterial small subunit ribosomal RNA
Source: RNAcentral
UACGUAGGGCGCAAGCGUUGUCCGGAAUUAUUGGGCGUAAAGAGCUCGUAGGCGGUUUGUCGUGUCUGCUGUGAAAACCUGAGGCUCAACCUCGGGCUUGCAGUGGGUACGGGCAGACUAGAGUGCGGUAGGGGUGACUGGAAUUCCUGGUGUAGCGGUGGAAUGCGCAGAUAUCAGGAGGAACACCGAUGGCGAAGGCAGGUCACUGGGCCGCAACUGACGCUGAGGAGCGAAAGCAUGGGGAGCGAACAGG